AGCUUUUCGAAUUCGUGCAGAGAUUCCGUCAAACGCCAACCCAUUAGGGCUGACCAAACUCCCAAGAUAAGUGAAGUU
Molecule: non-coding RNA, 78 nt
Organism: Schistosoma mattheei
Lineage: Eukaryota; Metazoa; Platyhelminthes; Trematoda; Strigeidida; Schistosomatidae
Source: Rfam